This 590-nucleotide ribosomal RNA is filed under the name uncultured bacterium. RNAcentral describes it as "bacterial SSU rRNA". It matches the Rfam family "Bacterial small subunit ribosomal RNA", at positions 338 to 916 of the family's 1533-position model. The record is from RNAcentral.
CCUACGGGAGGCAGCAGUAGGGAAUCUUCCGCAAUGGACGAAAGUCUGACGGAGCAACGCCGCGUGGGCGAUGAAGGCCUUCGGGUCGUAAAGCUCUGUUGUUAGGGAAGAACAAGUAUCGGAGUAACUGCCGGUACCUUGACGGUACCUAACCAGAAAGCCACGGCUAACUACGUGCCAGCAGCCGCGGUAAUACGUAGGUGGCAAGCGUUGUCCGGAAUUAUUGGGCGUAAAGCGCGCGCAGGCGGUCCUUUAAGUCUGAUGUGAAAGCCCACGGCUCAACCGUGGAGGGUCAUUGGAAACUGGGGGACUUGAGUACAGAAGAGGAAAGCGGAAUUCCACGUGUAGCGGUGAAAUGCGUAGAGAUGUGGAGGAACACCAGUGGCGAAGGCGGCUUUCUGGUCUGUAACUGACGCUGAGGCGCGAAAGCGUGGGGAGCAAACAGGAUUAGAUACCCUGGUAGUCCACGCCGUAAACGAUGAGUGCUAAGUGUUGGAGGGUUUCCGCCCCUUUAGUGCUGCAGCUAACGCAUUAAGCACUCCGCCUGGGGAGUACGGGCCGCAAGGCUAAAACUCAAAGGGAAUUGACGG